RNAcentral lists this ribosomal RNA (465 nucleotides) under Vreelandella stevensii. RNAcentral describes it as "partial 16S ribosomal RNA". It matches the Rfam family "Bacterial small subunit ribosomal RNA", at positions 338 to 795 of the family's 1533-position model. The record is from RNAcentral. Lineage: Bacteria; Pseudomonadati; Pseudomonadota; Gammaproteobacteria; Oceanospirillales; Halomonadaceae.
CCUACGGGAGGCAGCAGUGGGGAAUAUUGGACAAUGGGGGCAACCCUGAUCCAGCCAUGCCGCGUGUGUGAAGAAGGCCCUCGGGUUGUAAAGCACUUUCAGUGAGGAAGAACGCCUGGUGGUUAAUACCCAUCAGGAAAGACAUCACCCACAGAAGAAGCACCGGCUAACUCCGUGCCAGCAGCCGCGGUAAUACGGAGGGUGCGAGCGUUAAUCGGAAUUACUGGGCGUAAAGCGCGCGUAGGUGGCUUGAUAAGCCGGUUGUGAAAGCCCCGGGCUCAACCUGGGAACGGCAUCCGGAACUGUCAAGCUAGAGUGCAGGAGAGGAAGGUAGAAUUCCCGGUGUAGCGGUGAAAUGCGUAGAGAUCGGGAGGAAUACCAGUGGCGAAGGCGGCCUUCUGGACUGACACUGACACUGAGGUGCGAAAGCGUGGGUAGCAAACAGGAUUAGAUACCCUGGUAGUC